This 315-nucleotide ribosomal RNA is filed under the name uncultured eukaryote. RNAcentral's name for it is "partial 18S ribosomal RNA". It matches the Rfam family "Eukaryotic small subunit ribosomal RNA", at positions 1470 to 1796 of the family's 1831-position model. The record is from RNAcentral.
CCCCUAGAUGUUCUGGGCCGCACGCGCGCUACACUGAACAGUUCAACAAGUCUUAACCUUGGCUCGAUAGGCCUGGGUAAUCUUUGAACGCCGGUCGUGAUGGGGAUAGAUCCUUGCAAUUUUUGAUCUUCAACGAGGAAUUCCUAGUAAAUGCGAGUCAUCAUCUCGCGUUGAUUACGUCCCUGCCCUUUGUACACACCGCCCGUCGCACCUACCGAUUGAAUGGUCCGGUGAAGCCUCGGGAUUGCGAAUGCUUCGUGCGGACGCGAGAACUUGGCUAAACCUUACCAUUUAGAGGAAGGUGAAGUCGUAACA